Molecule: ribosomal RNA, 305 nt
Filed under: uncultured bacterium
Lineage: Bacteria
Description: partial 16S ribosomal RNA
Rfam family: Bacterial small subunit ribosomal RNA
Source: RNAcentral
ACAGCAGCCGCCGCGGUAAUACGGAGGGUGCAAGCGUUAAUCGGAAUUACUGGGCGUAAAGCGCACGCAGGCGGUCUGACAAGUCAGAUGUGAAAUCCCCGGGCUUAACCUGGGAACUGCAUUUGAAACUGUCAGGCUGGAGUCUUGUAGAGGGGGGUGGAAUUCCAGGUGUAGCGGUGAAAUGCGUAGAGAUCUGGAGGAAUACCGGUGGCGAAGGCGGCCCCCUGGACAAAGACUGACGCUCAGGUGCGAAAGCGUGGGGAGCAAACAGGAUUAGAUACCCCGGUAGUCCCUGUCUCUUAUAC